GGUUGUGCAUAGUCAUUUUCAGGUGUGGAAGACAAGCCCGUGCUACGCGGUUGCCACAGUAACCUGACGUCAUAUUAGCGACGGUGACGACUUUUUUUUGAGACCAAUUUGGCCUGGGGAGAACCGCAGAGUCUCCGCUUCAGGCGUUUGGACUCAGUGGAGGUUGUGAGUGCCCAGCAGUGUGGCCUGAAUCUCCGUGGAGUUUAGGGAGACGAAAGGACCCCAGAUCGACGUCCCCUCGUUCCCACUUUGGGGAUCGGCGCUCUGGCUGUUUCGUGAAGGAGAGAGAGGAACUCAGAGUGGUUUUCCAGAUGGGAAUCACAUUGCUCUCUGUCCCUGAGAUCUUGCUGGAGACAGGGCUACUCAGUCCCUCUUUGCCAGAUUGAUAUUGGAAAAGCAGUUUCUAUUGAGCCCCCAAAUGAAGAGUGAGUGCAGAUGAAGAGGAGGCAGGACUCACAAGCCCUUGACCUUCAUUCCAGAUCCGUUAGCACCUACAGGAUCCUGCACCGGGAUUUCAUCUGUACUAUCAGCUUCUUCAAAGAGAGAGAGGUUGUUGACUCUUCAUGUGGAUGUCUGAGCUCAUAUCAGGUGUCUGAAAGAGGCAGAUUCUGAGGAUUUGGGUCAUGAUGGCUGCCAAAGCUUCUACUCCUGACUUAAAGGGCAACAAUCCUAGGAGACCACCAGCACUUAAUCCCUGGUAGGACAUGACACCUGCUUAUGGCUCAGAAGUGACAAAAGAGAAUUAUCAGGAUGGCAGUCCUUAUAACCAGAUGCUUAUCAACAUUCUUCACUACAUUCUGAAGAUGAAUUUCUACAAGGGAAAUUGUUUAUAUUUGUUGUUAGGGAAUAGAUAAGGAAAGAAGAAAAAGGCCCUGGUGAGAAACCCAUUGUACCUUCUGGAUAUGAUCACCACCCAAUUUUAUCAGUGUCAUUGAUCACUAACCCAUUGCCUCGUAUGGUGCCAGGCACAGAGUUACUCCAAGAAUGUACAAUAAUGGCUGGAUUCUCUUUCUCCCUGUGCAACUCUUCAUGCAUGUGACUGAACUUAUAUUAAGUGUCUGAAGGAGGUUCGUUCUGAGGACCUGGGACGUGAUGGGUGCUGAAGCUUCUACUCAAGAUUUGAAGGGCAGCUGUCCUCAGGAGACCCCUGGCACUUCCCUCCCUGGUGGGAUAUGAUGCCUGAUUCCAGUGAGUUCAUAGAGCUGAACAAAAGCAUGUUAUGGAAUAGCUCCUGUGAGGUUCACAACAUAGUCCAGAAGAUGAGAAACUACUUUUUUUAGUAACCUGGAUUCCCAUCUAAGAGAUGCCUUACUUUAUCAUAAAGCAAUGAAUUGUUCACUUGAGGAGGGAACUUCAUGUUUAACAUGUAUUUGCAACAAAUUUACAUACAUUUUCUGCCUGUAUGAAUAGUUGUCAGUGAUGCCCAUGAAUUUCUCAGAUGGAUGUUGAACUAUACAGUUAGAAGGUUAGAAGAUCUUCCUAGCAAUCUGAUUACGGGAGGCAGCAGAUGGCUGAAAUUCUGAUCCGAUGUGGCUGGUUAAUGCACGAUCUGAAAACCCCUGCACUGGUGAUUUUGGGACAGAUCUAGAAUAUACCAAUAAAUAUAUUAACAUACCAAGUAGUCUAGGAGCAGCCACUGGGCAAACACCAAACCUUGCAUCCCUGGUGCUGUCUCUGAGCUCAGCAGACACGUCUUUGUAGAAGAGUUCUAUAAUGGUGGUACAAUGGCGCCCCCUCGUGACAGAAGCUUGAACUACAGCUUGAACAUCGAGAUGAAAAUAUACUGUCUACAUUGUUCAACACAAUAGCUAAUGGCAACUGUGGCAGUUGAACACCCGAAACUUGAUGAAUGUGACUGAGGAACUGAACUUUUAGUUUCAUUGUGACAUGGUGAAUGAAUUUAGUGAGCCCCAGGAAGAAGGAAGAUUAAAGAAGAGCAAAGAAUAAUAGCUGGACAGAAGAUGGGGGUCAUUGAACCUAUAUCCUAGUUGCCUGACCAGUAAACUGACCACGGGUCCUGGGGGAGGCAGCAGAUGACCGAAAACCUGGAGUGAUGUGGCUGAAUACCGCAUGAUCCGAAGACUGCACUGGUGGCUGCGGUAUGGGUCCAAAUUUUUCCUUAACAAAAACAAAAAAAGAGCCCAAAACCAUACUGACCAGUCCAGGAACAGCCAUUAGGCAAACACAACUUUUUGCUACCCUGGUGUUACCGAUUUCUGAGCUCAACAGGUGAAUUCAAAGAUAUGCAUGUCUUUCCAGCAUGGGCAGCUGGAUUUGGGUCAGCUCAGGGGCAUGAUGUUGAACAGCUCUUAUGAGCUUCUGAUAGUGCCCAGAAGUACAGAAACAACUGUCUACAAAUCUUUGAACUCAAGGCAUAUCACAGGGACCUUUGCUUUCUUCAACUAGAUAUCUGUUUUCUCAUAAAGAGAAACAAUGAGAAAUGGUUUUUCACAAUGCCUCGUUAGCCCUGAGGCUCAGCCAUCCCCUAGUGCUGUGUCCCAACAUUUAAAGUUCAUUGAAGUCCCACUCUAUGCCAUAUAGUCUGGACAGGUUUUCUCAUUUACCCCUCAGGACAGCACUGUAAGGAUGGUGUGGUCAGUCCCAUUUCAUAGAUGACCAAACUCAGGCUUUCAGAGCCUAAGUCACUUCUCCAGAUAGGUGGUAGGAUUGAAAUGAGGUUCUAUCCCUCAUCAUCCAUAGACAGCCCUGAGUAGCCUCCCUUUUAGAAGAUGGGCUUCCAGGGCUUGAGAAAUGGUCAGAUUCCACCCCCAUGCUAUUGUGGACCAAUGCGUCCUCACUCCACAACCCCUCUGGGUGAUGAAGAAGAUAGAGAAGAUGAAAUCCCACCAUUUAUGGCAAGAGACCUGGGUGUAGGGCCACAUGAGUUGGUUGCUUCUCGAAGUGGUGAGUGGGCUCAGGUAGAAACUCAAGUGUUGGCCUUCGGACAGGUGAGCUGAAGAGAAGGAAAGUAACAUACACUAAACUACUGUAAGCAAAUGCACUUUAUAUUUCAUCUCCUUUAAUCUUAACUGCUAUUCAAGGUACCUAUCGCUUUGACCAUUAUUCAAAUCAGGGUACUUUAGGAAAGUUUAUGUAAAGCAGGGAAUAAACUCUUUUCUCUCCAGAUCAGCAGCUAACUCUAGAAUUACUUUUAAGUAUGUUUAAGUAUUUUUCCAUUUUUGUCUUGAUAUCUCCAGGACUCUCAAUGCUUGAAUUUUUCUCAAGGCCGACAGUACACACGCCCUAAGGUGUUCUUCACUAGUAUUUUCUUUUUAAAUUACAAUCUGUAUAUAUCUUAUUCAUAUUAUUGAAGUUGAAAACACAUUCUAAAUGAAAAUAACACUAAGAAUGUCUAUAAAAUAACGGGGAAACAUUUUCAAACUACAUCUCAGAUGUUGGAUUAGUAUCCAUAAUUUAUAGGGCAAACUCAGUAACAAAACAGUUGGCAACUAAUUUUGACAUAGAAUUCCAAUAGAUAUAGACAUGAACAAUGAACUUGUUGAUUAUGCUAAAACUAUAAGAACUAAUACGAUACUAAUAUAAAUCCUCAGAAGAAUAUUAAGUGGAAAGGACAACUUGCAAAAGGAGAUGAUUAAUGUGAUUGCACUUUUUGGCAAAGAUUACAUGCAUGUGUAGGUGAACAUAGUCAUGUGCACCUCAUCCACAGAAACAUGUCUGGAAAGUGUGCACCAUUCUAUGGACAACAGACCUUUUGGGUCAGGAGGUAGGAGUUGAGCUAGUGAGAGGUGAAGAUUAAUUACAAUUCAUAUAUGUGCUUUUGUAUAUUGUCUGAAAUUUGGUAUUCAGGAAUAAAAGUAUUUUGAUGAAUAUUUAGACACAACAUACUUUUGCACAGAUUGACAAAAGUAAUGUGUAUUAUGUUCAUUAAUUUGAAAUAGCUGUUACUGUAUUCUAUUUAAUGGUGAAAGAAGUAGUUAAGUAGAAGGACACAAAACAAGUCUCAACAAAUUUAAAAAAUCAAAAUCAUAUCAAGUAUGUUCUCAGACAAAAAUGGAAUAAAAGUAGAAAUCAAUAACAAGAGGAACCUGGUAAACUGUACAAAUAUGUGGAAAAUAAACAAACAGCAUGCUCCAGAAUGACCACUGAGUCAAGAAAAAAAAAUAUGGAGGAAAUCAAAAAGUUAUUUGAAACAAAUGAAAAUGGAAACACAACAUACCAAAAUCUAUGGGAUACAGCAAAAGCAGUGCUAAGAGAAAAAUUUGUAGCAAUAGAUGCCUACAUCAAAAAAGUCAAAAGAUUCCAAAUAAUCAAUCUGACUGUUCACCUCAAGGAACUAAAAAAGGAAAAAAAAACCAAAUCCCAAAUGAGUAGAAGGAAGGAAACAGUAAAGGUCAGAGCCAAACUAAACAAAAUAGAAACUAAAAAUAUACAAAAUUUUAAUGAAACAAAAAGUUAGAUUUCUGAAAAAAUAAAAAAUUGAUAAACCAUCAGCUAGACUAACCAAGAAAAAAGAGAGAAGACACAAAUAAACAACAUCAGAAAUGAAAAAGGAGACACUACAACUGAUAACAUGGAAAUACAAAUAAUCAUCAGAGACAAUUAUAAACAAUUAUAUACCACCAAAUUGGAAAGCCUAGAGGAAAUAGAUAAAUUCCUGAACGUAUACCACCUACCAAGAUUGAAUCAGGAAGAAAUAGAAAACCUGAACAGACCAAUAGUAAGUAAUGAGAUUGAAUCAGUGAUAAAAAUUUUCCAACAGAGAAAAGUCCAGACCUGGAUGGUUUCUCUGAUGAAUUCUACCAAACCUUCAAAGGAGAACUAACACAAGUUAUAUUCAAACUACUGAAAAAAAAUUGAAGAGGAGAGAAUUCUCCCUAACUCAUUUUAUGAGGGCAGCGUUAUUAUGAUAUUAAAAACCAGACAAGGACUCAACAACAACAACAAAAAACUACGGGCCAAUAACCCUGAUGAAAAUAGAUGCAAAAGUUCUCAACAAAAUACUAGCAACCUGACUCCAACAGCACAUCAAAAAGAUAAUAUGCCAUGAUCAAGUGGGAUUUACACCAGGGAUGCAAAGAUGGUUCAACAUAUGCAAAUCAACAAACAUAAUACAUUACAUCAACAGAAUGAAGGACAGAAACCAUAUGAUUAUCUCAACCAAUCCAUAAAAAGCAUUUGAUAAAAUUCAUCAUCCCUUCAUGAUAAAAACUCUCAAGAAACUAGGCAUCAAAAGAACGUACCUCAAAAUAAUAAAAACCAUAUAUGAUAAACUCAGAGCCAACAUCAUAAUGAAUGGGGAAAAGCUGAAACCAUUUCAUCUAAGAACUGGAACAAGACAAGGGUCUUGUUUUUUCACCUUCCUCACUACUAUUCAACAUAGUACUGGAAGACCUAGCCAGAGCAAUCAGACAAGAGAAAUAACAGAUAUCCAAGUUGGAUAUCUUUACAUUUGUUCCUCUUUGCAAAUGAUACAAUUUUUUAUCUGGAAAAACCUAAUGACUCCAUCAAAACUCUCCCAAAUUUGAUAAAUACAAUAUAGUUGUAGGAUAGAACAUCAAUAUACAAAAAUCAGUAGUGUUUGUAUGCACCAAUGACGAAAUAGCUGAUGAUGAAAUAGCGGAGAAAGAAAUUAAAAAGGCAUGCCUACUUGAAAUAGCUACCAAAAAAAACCUAGGAAUAAAUUUAACCAAGCAGGUGAAAGACCUCUACAAGGAAAACUACAAAACACUGAUGAAAGAAAUUGAAGAGGACAAAAGCAAAUGGAAAGAUAUCCUAUGCUCAUGGCCUGGAAGAAUUAAUAUAAUUAAAAUGACCAUACUGUCAAAGGUAAUCUGCAGAUUCAAUGCAAUCCUUAUCAAAGUACCAAUGACAUUUUUCGCAGAAAUAGAAAAAACAAUCCUAAAAUUGAUAUGCAACCACAAAGGAACCUGGAUAACCAAACCAAUCCAGACCAAAAAGAACAAAGCUGGAGGCAUCACACUACUUGACUUCAAAAUAUAUUACAAGGCUUUAGUAAUCAAAACAGCAUGGUAUUGGUAUGAAAACAGACACAAAGACCAAUGGAACAGAAUAGAGAACGCAGAAAUAAAUCCACAUGUUUACAGACAAAACUGAUUUUCAACAAAGGCACCAAGAACGUACAUUGGAGAAAGGACAUCCUCCUCAAUAAAUGGUAUUGGGAAAAUUGGAUAUGCAUAUGCAGAAGAAUGAAACUGCAUCUCUGUCUCUCAUCAUAUACAGACAUCAACUCAAGAUCAAUAAAAGACUUAAAUGUAAGAUCUGAAACUAUAAAAAUACUAGACAAAAACCUGGGGGAAACACUUUAGUACAUUGGUCUAGGCAAAGAUUUUAUGGCUAAGACCUUAAAAGCACAGACAACAAAACCGAAAAUAGGCAAAUGACCAAUCUGUAUGUCCACCACAGAGUCCAGGGCCUUUCCUCUGCAAUACCUUGUCAGCGUCAGUACUUUCUUCAUUCCUCUGUAGCCUUUCUCACCGCCCUAUACUUGGGGAGUCUAAAUGGCACUACUUUAUGAGUGUCUGUAGGGCAAUACUUAUCAAGGCCUACAUAGGCACACACCCUUUGUGCUAGCUUUUCCUUUUAUAUGUUUAUCUUCAGGACUUAGUGAAGAAUGUUGAUUAAGAUCUGGUUACAGGUACUGCCAUCCUGAUAUUUCCCUUUUUUCACUUUUGGGCUUGAAUUUAGAAAGGGAGACGAAAUGAGAUGCAAAGACACAAGCCAGAAGGAAGUAAAGGGAAAUGUGGUUGUCAGCACACACAUACACUCACACUCUCUCUCUCUCUCACACACACACACACACACACUCCUACCUCAACCAGGUUCUGUUAUCACAAUACUACAAUUCUCUCAACAUAGUUGUUGGGCUCCAAGGGGACCCAUUCAGCUCACCAGAGCAAAUAGCCAUGGGAACUCUGCCCUGGAUUACACCCACUACCAGUGCGCAGACUCUGAAAAGAUGCUAUCCAUGUCGUGUAGAUAAUAGGGAAUAUUGGAACACUCUAUAUAAUAUGGGGUUGUGAAAAUUGAUUAUGUCACAUCCACAGUAUGAAAUUUCAGAAGAGAGCAAAAAUGAGUUAUAUUGAAACAAUGAUGAGAGAUGAUUUUUUUUGCCUAUCAGAUUAGUAAAGAUUCACAUUAUUUCUAAUAUGGGCAGAAAGGAACUUUCAUACUGGAAUAUUAGUAGUAUAAUACUUUUAUUAAAAGUAUUUUGAUUUCAGAUAAAUGCAUGGGGGCAAGAUGGCAGAUAGGAGGCAGGACUAGCUUGCAGCUCCUGCUGAGAUGAACAGAGCAGCAUGUGGAGACUCAUACUGUAAACCUUUGCUCCAAGAAGUACUGCAGGAACAUACCAGGAAAGCUGAGAGAAUCCACAGACCCUUUGAAGAAACUGGAUCACUGUUGCAGGCCCCCUGAGUUGCUGAAAAACUGUGAGUCUGCUUGCUUUGUCAGUGGGGAAGCUGGUGGUCUGGGACAAGUUCUCAGCCCUGGUCCCUGGUUGCCCUAAAAUAGACUCAGUGCUGUUAUAGGGCACAGUGGGAAUGACACCAGCCUUUAGGGCUGCAGGCUGUGUGGGAGCAGGGUGAGGCCCAUGACUGCAGACUUUCCCCCACUUGCUGGCAAACUGUAUGAUUCAGCAGAAGCAGCCAUAAUCCCCCUGGGAAUAUAACUCCAUUGGACCAGACACCACACCCCCAUCCCCCACAGCAGUCACAGCAAGCCACACCCAAGGAGAGGCUGAGCUCAGCCAUGCCUAUCCCUGCCCCUACCUGGUGGUCUUUCUCUAUCCACCCUGGUAGCCAAAGACCAAGGUCAUAAUCUCUUGGGAGUUCUAUGGCCCUGCCCACCACCUGAGAAAUCUGAAUACUUAACCAGCUGUUCCUAGGGAAAGUUGGCAUCCUCUCUGCAGGACCACAACUGAUGUACUCUUGAAAGCACCACCUCCUAGCUGGAGGCCAACCAACACAAAACUAGUGCACUAAACCAAAAUACAACCAAGGACCCUUACAGAGUCCACUUCACUCCCCUGCUACCUCCACUGGCUGCAAAACCUGAAGAUGGAUCACAUCACAGGACUCUUUGCAGACACUCCCCAGUACCAGCCCGGAGCCCAGUAGCUCCACUGGGUGGCUAGACCCAGAAGAGCAAAAACAAUCAUGACAAUUUAGCCCUCAGGAAGCCCCAUUUAUAGGGGAAGGGGGAGAACACCACAUCAAGGGAGCACCCCAUGGGACAAAAGAAUCUGAACAGCAGCUCUUGAAUUCCAGAUCUUCCCUCUGACAUAGUCUACCCAAAUGAGAAAGAGCAAGAAAAAAAUUUCUGCUAAUACGACAAAACAAGUUUCUUUAACACCCCCAAAAGAUUGCACCAGCUCACCAGCAAUGGAUCCAAACCAAGAUGAAAUGUUGAAAUAGCCAGAAAAAGAAUUCAGAAGGUUGAUUAUUAAGCUAAUAAAAGAGGCAGCAGAGAAAGAUGAAGUCCAACUUAAAUAAAUCAAAAACGUGAUGCAGGAUAUGAAAGGAAAAUUAUUCAGUGAAACAGCAUAAAUAAAAAAAAAACAAUUACAAUUUCAAGAAAUCAGGAGCACAUAUAGAGAAAUGCAAAAUGCACUGGAAAGUCUCAGCAAUAGAAUCGAACAAGCAGAAGAAAGAACUUCAGAGCUCAAAGACAAGGCUUUCAAAUUAACCCAAUCCAUCAAAGACAAAGAAAAAAGAAUUUUAGGCCGGGUGCGGUGGCUCACGCCUGUAAUCCCAGCACUUUGGGAGGCCAAGGCAGGUGGAUCACGAGGUCAGGAGAUCGAGACCAUCCUGGCGAACAUGGUGAAACCCUGUUUCUACUAAAAAUACAAAAAAAAAAAAAAAAUUAGCUGGACAUAAUGGCAGGUGCCUGUAGUCCCAGCUACUCAGGAGGCUGAGGCAGGAGAAUGGCGUGAACCCGGGAGGCGGAGCUUGCAGUGAGCCAAGAUCGCGCCACUGCACUGUAGCCUGGGCGACAGAGCAAAACUCCGUCUCAAAAAAAAAAAAAAGAAUUUUUAAAAAAAUGACUAAAGCAUCCAAGAAGUUUGGGACUAUGUUAAAUGUCCAAACCUAAGAAUAAUUAGUGUUCCUAAGGAAGAAGAGAAAUCUAAAAGUUUGGAAAACAUAUUUGAGGGAAUAAUCAAAGAAAACUUCCCUGGCCUUGCUAGAGAUCUGGACAAAUACAAGAAGUUCAAAGAACACCCGGGAAAACUAGGCACAUAGUCAUCAAGUUAUCUAAAGUCAAGACAAAGGAAAGAAUCCUAAGAGCUAUGAAGCAAAAGCAUCAGGUAAUCUAUAAAGGAAAACCUAUCAGAUUAACAGCAGAUUUCUCAGCAGAAACCCUACAAGCUAGAAUGAAUUCGGGUCCUAUUUUUAGCCUCCUUAAGCAAAACAAUUAUUAGCCACGAAUUUUGUAUCCAGAGAGAAACUAAGCUUCAUAAAUGAAGGAAAGAUAGUCUUUCCCAGACAAACAAAUGCUGAGAGAAUUCACUACUACCAAGCCAGCAGUACAAGAACUGCUAAAAAGAGCUCUAAAUAUUAAAAUAAAUCCUCAAAAUAUACCAAAAUAGAAUCUCCCUAAAGCAUAAAUCUCACAGGACCUAUAUGACAGUAACACAAUGCAAUAUAUAUAUAUAUACACACACACACACACAUACAGGCAACAAAUAGCACAAUGAAUAAAAUAGUACCUCACAUCUCAAUGCUAACAUUGAAUGUAAAUAGCCUAAAUGCUCCACUCCAGAAUGGCAGAAUGGAUAAGAAUUCACCAACCUAGUUUCUGCUGUCUUCAGGAGAUUCACGUAACACAUAAGGACUCACAUAAACUUAAGGUAAAGGGAUAGAAAAAUACAUUCCAUGCAAAUGGACACCAAAAGUGAGCAAGAGUAGCUAUUCUCACAUCAGACAAAACAAACUUUAAGGCAACAGCAGUUAAAAAAGACAGAGGGACAUUAUAUAAUGAUAAAAGGACUAGUCCAAAAGGAAAAUAUCACAAUUCUGAAUAUAUAUACACCUAACACUGGACCUUUCGAUUUAUAAAACAGUUACUACUAGACCUAAGAAAUGAAAUAAACGGCAACACAAUAAAAGUGGGAGGCUUUAAUACUUCACUGACAGCACUAGACAGGUCAUCAAGACAGAAAGUCAACAAAGAAACAAUGUACUUAAACUAUACCUUAUAACAAAUGGACUUAACAGAUAUUUACAGAACAGUCUACCCAACAACUACAGAAUAUAUAUUCUAUUCAUCAGUACAUGGAACAUUCUCCGAGAUAGACCACAUGAUAGGCCACAGAACAAGUCUCAGUAAAUUUAAGAAAAUCAAAAUUAUAUCGAGUACUCUCUCAGACUACAAUGGAAUAAAAUUGGAUAUCAACUCCAAAAGGAACCUUAAAAACCAUGCAAAUAUAUGGAAAUUAAAUAACUGGCUCCUGAAUGAUCGUCGUAUCAACAAUGAAAUCAAGAUGGAAAUUUAAAAAUUCUUUGAAUUGAAAGAUUAUAGUGACACAACCUAUCAAAACCUCUGGAAUACAGCAAAAGCAGUGCUAACAGGAUAGUUCAUAGCAUUGAAUGCCUACAUCAAAAAGUCUGAAAGAGCACAAAUAGACAAUCUAAGAUCAUACCUCAUGGAACUAGGGAAAGAAGAACAAUCUAAACCCAAACCCAGGAGAAGAAAAGAAAUAACGAAGAUCAGAGCAGAACUAAAUGAAAUUGAAACAAAAACAAUACAAAAGAUAAAUGAAACAAAAAGCUGGUUCUUUGAAAAGAUAAAUAAAACUGAUAGACCAUUAGCAAGAUUAACCAAGAAGAGAGAAGUUUCAAAUAAGCUCAAUUAGAAAUGAAAUGGGAGAUAUUACAACUGAUAUCACAGAAAUACAAAAGAUUAUUCAAGGCUACUAUGAACACCUUUAUGUGCAUAAACUAGAAAACCUACAGGAGAUGGAUAAAUUCCUGGAAAUAUACAACCCUCCUAGAUUAAACCAAGAAGAUAUAGAAUCUCUGAACAGACCAAUAACAAGCAAUGAGAUUGAAAUAGUAAUACAAAGAUUGCCAAUAACUAAAAAAGUUCAGAACCAGACAGAUUCACAGCUGAAUUCUAUCAGACAUUCAAAGAAUUGGUACCAAUCCUAUUGACACUAUUCCAAAAGAUAGAAAAAGAGAGAAUCCUCCCCCAAAUCAUUCUAUGAAGCCAGUUUCGCCAUAGUAUCAAAACCAGGGAAGGACAUAACGAAAAAGAAAGCUACAGACCAAUAUCCCUGAUGAACAUAGAUGCAAAAAUCCUCAAGAAAAUACUAGUGAACCAAAUUCAACAACAUAUCAAAAAGAAAAUCCACCAUGAUCAAUUGGGUUUCAUGCCAUUGAUGCAGGGAUGAUUUAAGAUACACAAGUAAUAAAUGUGAUAGAGGGCAUACACAGAUUUAAAACAAAAAUCACACGAUCAUCGCAAUAGAUGCAGAAAAAAGCAUUUGACAAAAUCCAGCAUCCCUUUAUUAUUAAAACCCUCAGCAAAAUCGGCAUAAAGGGGACAUACCUUAGAGUAAUAAAAGCCAUCUACAACACAAACAAAGGGAAACACAUACCAUGCUCAUGGAUGGGUACAUAUGGAACCAGAAAAGAGCCCAAAUAGCCAAAGCAAGACAGAAAAAAAAAAAAAAGUUAGGCGCGUAGACCAAUGGAACAGAAUAGAGAACCCAAAAAUAAAGCCAAAUACAGCCAACUGAUCUUUAACAAAGCAAACAAAAACAUAAAGUGGAGAAAGGACACCCUAUUCAACAAAUGGUGCUGGGAUAAUUGGCAAGCCACAUGUAGAAGAAUGAAACUGGAUCCUCAUCUCUCACCUUAUACAAAAAUCAACUCAAGAUGGAUCAAAGACUUAAAUCUAACACCUGAAACCGUAAAGAUUCUAGAAGAUAAUAUUAGAAAAACCCUUCUAGACAUUGGCUUAGGCAAAGACUUCAUGACCAAGAACCCAAAAGCAAAUGCAACAAAAACAAGCAUAAAUAGAUGGGACUUAAUUAAACUACAAAGCUUCUGCACAGCAAAAGAUAUAAUCAGCAGAGUUAACAGACAACUUACAGAGUGGGAGAAAAUCUUCACAAUCUGUACAUCCGACAAAGGACUAUUAUCCAGAAUCUACAAAUAACUCAAAUCAACAAGAAAAAACAAAACAAAACAAAACAAAGUAAAAAUAUCAAAAAGUGGGCUAAGGGCAUGAAUAGACAAUUCUCAAAAGAAAAUAUACAAAUGGCCAGCAAGCAUAUGGAAAAAUGCUCAACAUCACUAGUGAUCAGGGAAAUGCAUAUCAAAACCACAAUGCAACACCAUCUUAUAACUGCAAGAAUGGCCAUAAUAAAAAAAUUUAAAAAAAUAGAUGUCUGAGUAGGUGGGGUGAAAAGGGAACACUUUUACACUGCUGGUGGGAGUGUAAACUAAUACAACCUCUGUGGAAAACAGUGUGGAGAUUCCUUAAAGAACUAAAAGUAGAUCUCUCGUUUGAUCCAGCAAUCCCACUACUGGGUAUCUACCCAGAGGAAAAGAAGUCAUUAUACAAAAAAGAUACUUGCACACGCAUGUUUAUAGCAGCACAAUUGCAAUUGCAAAAAUAUGGAACCAACCCAAAUGCUCAUCAAUCAAUGAGUGGAUAAAGAAAAUGUGAGAUAUAUAUAUAUGAAUACUACUAAGCCAUAAAAAAAAAAGAAAUAAUAGCAUUCGCAGCAACCUGGAUGGAAUUGGAGAUUAUUAUUCUAAGUGAAGUAACUCAGGAAUGGAAAACCAAACAGCGUAUGUUCUCACUCAUGUGGGAGCUAAGCUAUGAGGACGCAAAGGCAUAAGAAUGAUACAUUGGUCUUUGGGGACUCAGGGGAAGCAGUGGGGAGUGUUGAGGGAUAAAAGACUAUACAUUGGGUACAGGGUACACUGCUUGGGUGAAGGGUGUGCCAAAAUCUCAGAAAUCACCGCUAAAGAACUUAUUCAUGUAAACAAACACCACCUGUUCCCCAAAAACCUAUUGAGAUUAAAAAAACAUUAAAAAAAGUAAAAGUAUUUUGAUUUCAUCAUCUUAAUAUAAAAUUUUUAAGUGUCUGGGGUUUAAAGAUACUCUUUCAAAAACUUAUAAAGAAAUUAUUACUGAAAUAUUUGUGCAUAUGAGCAAGAGUGUUAUAUACACCAUUGUCUGUAAUAGAAACUAUGGUAAGGGAACUAAAUUUUCACCACUAGGUUACUGUGGAAAUAAACUUUAGGAUAUCAUAUAAAUGAAACACCAGGUCCAUAAAAAAUAUUGAUAUUAUGUUGUAAUUUCAAAUGUUAUCAUAGAAAUCUAUUUCCAUGAAAAGAUAGUAAUAAAGAUGUAAAGAGGGUUUACAAAGAUAACAAGUAUCCUGGAUCCCUUUUUUCUUAUAUAGGUCUCUAUUUAUCCAGGGGUCAAAGAAUAAAAAUUAAAAUAUUUUGUCUUCCUCUCACAUAGAGCUCUCUUCUCAGCACAGUAAAAGGCAGCAAUUUUUGUCUGGAGUCCUUCCCCUAUACACUGGGAAUGCUCACUUUUCCACCAAGAUUUCCAGAAAGCUUUAUAGGAUGGGCUUGGGCCACAAUCUCUCCUUCCCACCUUCCUGUUCAGCAGUGUUCUAGCUGCAAUGCAGAUUUGUGUUGGGAAAGGGCACCACGGCACCACCAUUAUCAAACUUUUCAGCAAAGAAGUGUCCGCAAGGGGCAAAAACUACAAUACCUCCUUACGACCCACCUUAUGAACCCAGGUACAGAAUGAUUCUGUCAGAAAGAUACUGAUGUAUUUAAAAGAAGACGGAAAAAAAAAAUAAACUGCAGAACAUCCUUGGCUAUCCUAGGCGGGCAGCCAUAGGGCGGUGCGGGGCAGUGGGUGGUGACAGAGAGAGGAUGAGGGCACAGGAGCAGGGUCUGGGCAGCUGUGUCCAUAGUGUCCUGAAAAGGGAAUGACAGAGAGAAGGUGGGAGGAAAUCUGGGAAGCCUGUAUAGGGGUGGGGAAAUGGAGGAGGGUGAAUGCCCUGCUGUCUGAAAAGGACCCCCCCACCCCGCCACCCUCCUACAAUGUGGACACUGCAACCUGCACCAGGGAGGGAAGUGAAAAAUCAAUGAAUGCAAUGUAGAUUUGGGGUCAACAGAUAAUGGAACUGUUUUCAUAUGCACGUGAAUUUUCCAAACAACCACCAAAAACUUGUAAUAUUUGUUACUCUAUGCAAAAUAAGCUGCUUUUAAUUUAAAAACAAAAAUUGAGAUAGCUAUGAUGUGCCUUCUGGUGGCUAGAGCCAAGGUUGCAGCUUUGAGAGUAGACCAGGUUGCGGGGCAGGCAGGGUUCAGCAUAGGGAAGGGAGGGAUGGAGUUGGGAGCUUGAUUAAUGGGAUCAGCCUUAUUCCAAUCCUGCCAUUUAUCUGGGGAAGUGACUUAGGCUCUCUGAGCCUGAACUUAGUCACCUGUGAAAUGUGACUGACUAUACCAGAGCUGUCCUGAGGGGUAAAUGAGAAAAACUGCCCAGAGUAUAUGGCAUAGUGUGGAACUUUAGUGGUCUUUAAAUGUUGAGACACAGGAGUAGGGGUUGGCAGAGCCUCAGGGCUAAGGAGGCAGUGUGAAAAAUCAUUUCUUACUGUUUCCCCUUUUGAGAAAAAUACACAUCUAGUUGAAGAAAGCAAAUGUCCCUGUGAUAUACCUUGAGUGGAAAGAUUUAUAGACAGCUGUUUCUCUAGUUCUUGGGUGUUAUCAGAAGCUCAUAAGAGCUGUUCAGCAUCAAGUCCCUGAGCUGACCCAAAUUCAGUUCCUCAUGCUGGGAAGAUAGGCAUGUCUUUGAACUCACCUGGUAAUCUCAGUGAUAGAUAACACCAGGUAAGCAAAGUGUGGAGUUUGCCUAAUGGUUGUUCCUGGACUGUUUGGUAUAUUAAUAUAUUAUAGGAAAGCAGGGUGCGGUGGCUCAUGCCUGUAAUCCCAGCACCAUGGGAGGCUGAGGUGGGCAGAUCACUUGAGGUCAGGAGUUCGAGACCAGCCUGGCCAACAUGGCAAAACUCUGUCUCUACUAAAAAUACAAAAAGUAGCCGGGCAUGGUGACGCACACCUGUAAUCCCAGCUACUCAGGAUGCUGAGGCAGGAGAAUCGCUUGAACCCAGGAGGUGGAGGUUGCAGUGAGCUGAGAUGGGGCCACUGCACUCCAGUCUGGGUGACAGAGUGAAACACUGUCUCAAAAAAAAAAAAAAAAAGAUAUAUAUAUACACACACACACACACAUAUAUAAAAAAUAGGAAACACACACACACACACACACACACACACACACACAUAUAUAUAUAAAAAAUAGGAAAAUUCUAGACUGUUUCACAGCCACCAGGGCAGUGACCCUCAGAUUAUGCAUUAUCCAGCCACAUCACAGCAGUAUUUUAACCAUCUUCUACCUCUUGAAACACAAAAAUCCAAGUUACUACCAUUUCUAUACACACAAUUGUCCAUUCCUUCAUUCAUUAAUAACUAAAUAUAUAUUAAGCUCAAUACCUAUAUAACUAAAGGCAUCUCAUGAUCUCUAAAAUGGAAGUAAUAGAGUAAGAAUGAAAAUAAUAUAUCGCUAACUUCAAAGGUUAGUUUUAAGAUGGUAUGCUCCUUCACAUUAAUUUUUAAACUUGAUCAACUUUUAAGAAAUGAAAGAUUUUCAAAAAUUCCUCUGGGACCCCUCAAUACACAUUUAGCCACAGGAUUGAUAUCUCUCCUCUCCUCUGCCCUCCCCUCUCCUCCCCUCCCCUCCCCUCCCCUCCCCUCCUCUCCCCUCCCCUCCCCUCCCCUCCCCUCCUCUCUCUCUCUCUCUCUGUCUCCUGCCCCCUCCACCUCUAUGUCCUAUCUCUGGGUCUCUCUCUUCUCCUUCAAAUUUAAACUACCUAAAAGAGCUUUCUCCAUUCCUUGUUAACAUUCUUCACUUCCUACUGCCUGCUUAUCCCACCUAAUUAGCCAAGCAGUGACUGCCACAGAGACAGGAAAGUGGGAUGGUCUUCAUGAAAUCACCCAGAGUUCAGCAUUAAAGCUUCAGUGGGGAAUGGGGAGGAUAAGGAGAGGGGAACCCUGACACAGUGGGAUUCGGGGUAGAAGUAUAGUCAUAGUCUCAUUCAGCCCAGGGUCCCAGGAGCAAUCAACAAAUGUGACUUAAUACACCACGUUUUCAUUACCUAUGUAUCCACUGAUGAACUUUUAGGUCGAUUCCACAUCUUGACUAUGAUGUAUAAUUACACAAGUACCUUCCUUAUGUAAUUAAAAGUAAUAAAAGGAAAAUAUACACAUGCCCAGCACUUGUAAUAGACAUCAAAUCAAGUUCUAAAUGGAAUGCAUCCCUAUACCAUCUAAGGGAUUUGGGCAGUAGUCUGAACACAUGAAAACUAACUCCCAGAAAAUACUGUCUUCUUUCAGCAGGAUGGUCUAGAUUAGUUCUGGAUAUAAAGGACAGGCCUAAAUUAGUAACAGUUUGAAAGAAAGGUAGAAAAUUAGCCCCAGACAAAUGAGAAAAUGUGCAUUCAAGAUACACUGAGAUUGUUUUAGGCAAGUUAGCCACAGGAAAACUGAGACAUUGAACAUAUCAGAUAAAAGAAGAGUUUGAAAAUAGUAACUGUAGAAUGUUUUACUGCUCUCUAUAGCAUAUAAACUGAGACCUGGGUGUGUCUGUUUUAGUAGUCUAAAAGAUAAUACACACGACUUGGAGACGUAUAUAUAUAGCAGGUCCCACUGUUGAGAUAUGAAUGCAUGUUUGUUCUCCUCAGGUUUCUUACUUCCUUUUCUUCAAUGAGGUAGCCAGGUAUUUAGAGAGAAAACCAUGCUACAAAACAAUAUUAUAUUUUACAUACAGGUAUGUACAUGUGUAAUAAAACUAUAAGGUAAUGCCUUAAAAAUGAAAAAUCCAAAUUCUGUAUAGUGAUUAUCUCUGGGGAAGUAGGAGGCUAAUACAAUCAGACUUCAAUGUGACUAUCAAUUGCCUGUAUACUAUUUUAUAUGUUAGCAUGGGUACAUAGAAAGUUCUCACAUUCUAUAAUUUUUGUAUGUCUGAACUAUUUUAUAACAAAUACUGUUUCUAUGAGCAAAAAUUCUGACUUUUAAAAAGCUCCAUGCUAAUUUAUAAAUUGUGGAAAGCAUAGUCAAGUCCAGAAAUAAAUAAAUAAUCCCUGACCCCUCCCACUUAUUAAUUUUUGAUAAUGUGUCCUUUUUGUAUAGUUCCUCCCACUUUGUUCUCUAUGCAGGCAUACUUAAUAUAUAUCCAUUACAUAUGGGUUUCAUUUGUCUUGAGACUCAACAUUUCCUAAAGAUCAUAAAACCAGUAAUUAAGUAUGCUGAAAUAUUGUACUCACUCUGACUCCAAGGCUCAUGUCCUUAACCCCUGAGAAUGCCAAUCUUUUCCUGUGAAAGGGGUGAGGCCAGAUCAGGGGAGCUGACUUCUCAUGGUCUUUUUUACACAAAGAUAAAUCUGCUAUUGAGGACCCAGGUCUCCUGAUUUCAGUCUGUUGUACAGCAGAUUCAUCUUCAUGUUCUGUUACUCUAUGCUGUCUGCUUUCUGGUCCUCAAGAGGCUGCUAUUUCGGUGUCCAAAUAGAAGGUGAAAGAAGAUGGCACAAAAGAACAUCAAAUUAAAAGUAAUUUGCUUAGGAUAAUGGCCUCAAGCUCCAUCCAUGUUGCUGCAAAGGACAUGAUCUCAUUCUUUUUUAUGGAUCUGUAGUAUUCCAUGGUGUAUGUGUACCACAUUUUCUUUAUCCAGUCCACUGUUGAUGGGCAUCUAGGUUGAUUCCAUGUCUUUGCUAUUGUGAAUAGUGCUGUGAUAAACAUACACAUGCAUGUGUCUUUAUGGUAGAACGAUUUAUAUUCAUUUGGGAAUAUACUCAGUAAUGAGAUUUCUGGGUUGAAUUGUAGUUCUAUUUUAAGUUCCUUGGGAAAUCUCUAGACUGCUUUCCACAGUGGCUGAACUAAUAUACAUUCCUACCAGCAAUGUAUAAGCAUCCCCUUUUCACUGUAAGCUCACCAACAUCUGUUACUUUUUGACUUUUGCAUAAUAGACAUUUUGACUGUUGUGAGAUGGUAUCUUAUUGUGGUUUCGAUUUGCAUUUCCCUAAUGAUUAGUGAUAUUGAGCAUUUUUUCAUAUGCUUGUAGGUCGUGUGUAUAUCUUCUUUUGAGUAGUGUCUGUUCAUGUCCUUUGCCCAUUUUUUAAUGGGGUUGUUUUUCUGCUUGUUGAUUUAGUUCCUUAUAGAUCCUGGAUAUUAGACCUUUGGAAGAUGCAUAGUUUACAGAUGUUUUCUCCCAUUCUGUAGGUUGUCUGUUUACUCUGUUGAUAGUUUCUUUUGCUGUGCAGAAGCUCUUUAGUUUCAUUAGGUCCUACUUGUCAAUAUUUGUUUUUACUACAGUUGCUUUUGGUGUCUUCAUCAUGAAGUCUUUGCCAGGGCUGAUGUCUAGAAUGGUAUUUCCUAAGUUUUCUUCUAGGGUAUUUAUAGUUUUAUGUUUUACAUUUAAGUCUUUAAUGCAUUUUGAGUUGAUUUUUGAAGGGUAAAGGUGAAGUUUCAAUCUUCUGCAUAUGUCUAGCCAGUUAUUCUAGCACCAUUUAUUGAAUAGGAAGUCCUUUCCCCAUUGCUUGUUAUUGUUAACUUUGUUGAAGAUCAGAUGGUGUAGGUGUGUGGCUUUAUUUCUGUGUUCUUUAUUAUGUUCCAUUGGUCUGUGUGUCUGUUUUGUACCAGUACCAUGCUGUUUUAAUUACUAUAGCCUUGUAUUAUAGUUUGAAGUCAGGUAGUGUGAUCCUCCAUCUUUGCACUUUUCACUUAGGAUUGCUUUGGUUAUUCGGGCUCUCUUUUGGUUCCAAGUGAAUUUUAGAAUUUUUAUUCUAGUUCUGUGAAAAACAUUGCUAGUAGUUUAAUAGAAUAGCAUUGAAUCUGUAAAUUGCUUUGGGCAGCAUGACCAUUUUAACAAUAUUGAUUCUUCCUAUCCAUGAGCAUGGAAUAUUUUUUCACAAUCUUAAUUUUUAAGAGGGCAGAAUUGAGAACAAAAUGGAUUUUAAAAGAUAAAAAAGCACACCUAAUAAUAGUAAAGGUUAAAAUUCACUAGGAAUACAUUAUGUAUUAAUAUUUGUGUGCCUAGUCACACAACAAAAAUGUAGUUUUUUUGUUUAUUUGUUUGUUUGGUUUUUUUUGUUUGUUUGUUUAGAUGGAGUCUCACUCUGUCGCCCAGGCUGGAGUGCAGUGGCGCGAUCUUGGCUCACUGCAACCUCUCCCUCCCGGGUUCAAGCAGUUCUCUGCCUCCGCCUCCUGAGUAGCUGGGAUUACAGGUGCCUGCCACCAUGCCCAGCUAAUUUAGUAGAGAUGGGGUUUCACCAUCUUGGCCGGGCUGGUCUUGAACUCCUGACCUCAGGUGAUCCACCCGCCUCGGCCUCCCAAAGUGUUGGGAUUGCAGGUGUGAGCCACCGCACCCAGCCAAAAAUGUAGUUUUAUAUAGGAAACCUGCAGAAGCAGCAAUGAGAUAUAUGAAAAAUCAUACUAAUACCUGAGGCUGUUAAGCUUGGGCCCAAAUGCAAAUACAGAUUAAAAUUGUAGAAUGCAAUAAGAAUAAUGAAAAUAAAAACAGAACAUAUCAGAAUUUACAGCUAGAGCAGUGGUCAGAUAAUAUUUUUAUGCAUUACAUAGCUAUAUCAAUAAAAAGGAAUUGAACAAUCAAUUCAAAAAGCCAGAUAAAGAACCACAACAUAAACUAAAAGAAUGCAGUUGAAUAGUUAAAGGUUAAAACAGAAAA
Molecule: RNA transcript, 19742 nt
Organism: Pongo pygmaeus (Bornean orangutan)
Lineage: Eukaryota; Metazoa; Chordata; Mammalia; Primates; Hominidae
Gene name: ras-related protein Rab-40A-like
Exons: 11
Source: RefSeq, a predicted model, not a curated record